AGAUAUUAAAAAAAUAUAUAUUAUAUAUCGGUAGGGGAGCGUUCUGUUAUAGAUUGAAGCGUUAGCGUAAGCGGGCGUGGACGAAACAGAAGUGAGAAUGUCGGCUUGAGUAGCGAAAACAUAGGUGAGAAUCCAAUGCCCUGAAAACCUAAGGUUUCCUCCGGAAGGCUCGUCCACGGGGGGUAAGUCAGGACCUAAGGCGAGGCUGAAAAGCGUAGUCGAUGGACAAUAGGUUUUAUUCCUAUACUAUUCUUUAUUGGCAACGAGGGACGAAGAAAGCUAAACUAGCCAACUAAUGGUUAUUGGUUUAAAUGUACAAGGUGUUGAGAAGUAGAGAAAAUACUUUGAGCUAAGUCAUGAAUACGGAAUAACGUGCGCGUUAUAUGAAGUAGUUGAUGUUAUGCUUCCAAGAAAAGCUUGCACUGUCAUAAAUAAAGAAUACCUGUACCCUAAACCGACACAGGUAGGUUGGUAGAGUAUACCAAAGGGCGCGAGAUAACUCUCUCUAAGGAACUCGGCAAAAUAGCCCUGUAACUUCGGGAAAAGGGGUACCUUUUAGGUUGCAAUAACAAGGUCCAAGCGACUGUUUACCAAAAACACAGGUCUCCGCUAAGUUGUAAAACAACGUAUGGGGGCUGACGCCUGCCCAGUGCCGGAAGGUUAAAGAAGUUGGUUAGUUUAUGACGACGCUAAUAACUGAAGCCCCGGUGAACGGCGGCCGUAACUAUAACGGUCCUAAGGUAGCGAAAUUCCUUGUCGGGUAAGUUCCGACCCGCACGAAAGGCGUAACGAUCUGGGCACUGUCUCGGAGAGAGGCUCGGUGAAAUAGACAUGUCUGUGAAGAUGCGGACUACCUGCACCUGGACAGAAAGACCCUAUGAAGCUUUACUGUAACUUGAAAUUGGUUUCGGGUUUUAUUUGCGCAGCAUAGGUGGGAGGCUGGGACGUUAAUCUUACGGGAUUAAUCGAGCCGUCAGUGAGAUACCACUCUUAUAAAACUAGAACUCUAACCUUGUAUCGUUAGCCGAUCAGGGAACAGUUUCAGGCGGGCAGUUUGACUGGGGCGGUCGCCUCCUAAAAGGUAACGGAGGCGUACAAAGGUUUCCUCAGAUCGGUCAGAAAUCGAUCGAAGAGUGUAAAGGCAAAAGGAAGCUUGACUGUGAGACUUACAAGUCGAACAGAGACGAAAGUCGGUCUUAGUGAUCUGGCGAUAUUGAGUGGAAAAGUCGUCACUCAACGGAUAAAAGUUACUCUAGGGAUAACAGGCUGAUCUUCCCCAAGAGCUCACAUCGACGGGAAGGUUUGGCACCUCGAUGUCGG
Molecule: ribosomal RNA, 1320 nt
Filed under: Sargassum vulgare
Lineage: Eukaryota; Phaeophyceae; Fucales; Sargassaceae
Description: bacterial LSU rRNA
Rfam family: Bacterial large subunit ribosomal RNA
Source: RNAcentral